UAUACUGUGAAACUGCGAAUGGCUCAUUAAAUCAGUUAUCGUUUAUUUGAUAGUACCUUACUACUUGGGUAACCGUGGUAAUUCUAGAGCUAAUACAUGCUAAAAACCUCGACUUCGGAAGGGGUGUAUUUAUUAGAUAAAAAACCAAUGCCCUUCGGGGCUCCUUGGUGAAUCAUAAUAACUUAACGAAUCGCAUGGCCUUGUGCCGGCGAUGGUUCAUUCAAAUUUCUGCCCUAUCAACUUUCGAUGGUAGGAUAGUGGCCUACCAUGGUUUCAACGGGUAACGGGGAAUUAGGGUUCUAUUCCGGAGAGGGAGCCUGAGACACGGCUACCACAUCCAAGGAAGGCAGCAGGCGCGCAAAUUACCCAAUCCCGACGCGGGGAGGUAGUGACAAUAAAUACUGAUACAGGGCUCUUUUGGGUCUUGUAAUUGGAAUGAGUACAAUUUAAAUCCCUUAACGAGGAACAAUUGGAGGGCAAGUCUGGUGCCAGCAGCCGCGGUAAUUCCAGCUCCAAUAGCGUAUAUUAAAGUUGUUGCAGUUAAAAAGCUCGUAGUUGAACCUUGGGCCUGGCUGGCCGGUCCGCCUCACCGCGUGCACUGGUCCGGCCGGGCCUUUCCUUCUGGGGAGCCGCAUGCCCUUCACUGGGUGUGUCGGGGAACCAGGACUUUUACUUUGAAAAAAUUAGAGUGUUCAAAGCAGGCCUAUGCUCGAAUACAUUAGCAUGGAAUAAUAGAAUAGGACGUGUGGUUCUAUUUUGUUGGUUUCUAGGACCGCCGUAAUGAUUAAUAGGGAUAGUCGGGGGCAUCAGUAUUCAAUUGUCAGAGGUGAAAUUCUUGGAUUUAUUGAAGACUAACUACUGCGAAAGCAUUUGCCAAGGAUGUUUUCAUUAAUCAGUGAACGAAAGUUAGGGGAUCGAAGACGAUCAGAUACCGUCGUAGUCUUAACCAUAAACUAUGCCGACUAGGGAUCGGGCGAUGUUACUUUUUUGACUCGCUCGGCACCUUACGAGAAAUCAAA
RNAcentral lists this ribosomal RNA (1019 nucleotides) under Scytalidium album. RNAcentral's name for it is "SSU rRNA". It matches the Rfam family "Eukaryotic small subunit ribosomal RNA", at positions 75 to 1102 of the family's 1831-position model. Lineage: Eukaryota; Fungi; Ascomycota; Leotiomycetes. The record is from RNAcentral.